Molecule: ribosomal RNA, 546 nt
Filed under: Ciboria aestivalis
Lineage: Eukaryota; Fungi; Ascomycota; Leotiomycetes; Helotiales; Sclerotiniaceae
Description: SSU rRNA
Rfam family: Eukaryotic small subunit ribosomal RNA
Source: RNAcentral
CCAGCAGCCGCGGUAAUUCCAGCUCCAAUAGCGUAUAUUAAAGUUGUUGCAGUUAAAAAGCUCGUAGUUGAACCUUGGGCCUGGUUGGCCGGUCCGCCUCACCGCGUGCACUGGUCCGACCGGGUCUUUCCUUCUGGGGAGCCGCAUGCCCUUCACUGGGUGUGUCGGGGAACCAGGACUUUUACUUUGAAAAAAUUAGAGUGUUCAAAGCAGGCCUAUGCUCGAAUACAUUAGCAUGGAAUAAUAGAAUAGGACGUGUGGUUCUAUUUUGUUGGUUUCUAGGACCGCCGUAAUGAUUAAUAGGGAUAGUCGGGGGCAUCAGUAUUCAAUUGUCAGAGGUGAAAUUCUUGGAUUUAUUGAAGACUAACUACUGCGAAAGCAUUUGCCAAGGAUGUUUUCAUUAAUCAGUGAACGAAAGUUAGGGGAUCGAAGACGAUCAGAUACCGUCGUAGUCUUAACCAUAAACUAUGCCGACUAGGGAUCGGGCGAUGUUAUCUUUUUGACUCGCUCGGCACCUCACGAGAAAUCAAAGUCUUUGGGUCUGGG